This is a long non-coding RNA of Nerophis ophidion (straightnose pipefish), 525 nucleotides long. RefSeq lists it as uncharacterized. NCBI's taxonomy places the organism in Eukaryota, Metazoa, Chordata, Actinopteri, Syngnathiformes, Syngnathidae. The record is from RefSeq and is a predicted model, not a curated record. The transcript is spliced from 2 exons.
GUGCCGAAUUCUGCACCCCCGCCGUAAAAUGCACCCCCUGUCGGGAGCGCGCUUACGUCACUCGGUUGCAUCACCCGUCUCGAAAAGUAGCUAAACUCGGCUAAAAUCGCCUCUUUCGGCAUAAAAAUGUACAUAACAAGGUGAAUAAUCCAAGUUGUCUUUACUUUGGAUAUAUUAAUGGAUGGAUUAAUUGUGAUUCUUUAAUGAUUUCGCCGCCAUUGCCUUUAAUGAUUUCGUCGUCAUUCAAUCGCCUCUUUCGGCAGAAAAAUGUACAUAACAAGGUGAAUAAUCCAAGUUGUCUUUACUUUGGAUAUAUUAAUGGAUGGAUUAAUUGUGAUUCUUCAAUGAUUUCGCCGUCAUUGCCUUUAAUGAUUUCGUCGUCAUUCAGAGACAUCAAGGAGAACGAAUGUUUGCUGCUUCACUCGACGGGAUCCAAUACAUGUAUUUUAAAAAUAUGACAUUUUCUUUAACUGUAAGAAGCUCAUGGGUGGAUGGAUGAAUACAUUAAUAAAUGAAUGCAUCUGA